Molecule: ribosomal RNA, 293 nt
Filed under: Escherichia coli
Lineage: Bacteria; Pseudomonadati; Pseudomonadota; Gammaproteobacteria; Enterobacterales; Enterobacteriaceae
Description: partial 23S ribosomal RNA
Rfam family: Bacterial large subunit ribosomal RNA
Source: RNAcentral
GGGUUGUGAGGUUAAGCGACUAAGCGUACACGGUGGAUGCCCUGGCAGUCAGAGGCGAUGAAGGACGUGCUAAUCUGCGAUAAGCGUCGGUAAGGUGAUAUGAACCGUUAUAACCGGCGAUUUCCGAAUGGGGAAACCCAGUGUGAUUCGUCACACUAUCAUUAACUGAAUCCAUAGGUUAAUGAGGCGAACCGGGGGAACUGAAACAUCUAAGUACCCCGAGGAAAAGAAAUCAACCGAGAUUCCCCCAGUAGCGGCGAGCGAACGGGGAGGAGCCCAGAGCCUGAAUCAGU